RNAcentral lists this long non-coding RNA (889 nucleotides) under Rattus norvegicus (Norway rat). RNAcentral describes it as "long non-coding RNA NONRATT028115". The record is from RNAcentral. Lineage: Eukaryota; Metazoa; Chordata; Mammalia; Rodentia; Muridae.
GUGAGAAAAUGUUCUUGACACAAGACACAUGAGCAAGAUGGCUGAGCAUGGGUGUGUGGUACCCACAGAUCUGCCCCGGGGGCAUCAUCAUGGAGAACCUCAAUUGCUUUGCUUCACCAGCCUGUUGGAAAUGAAGUCCUGGCCACAGCAGCCUCUGGACUUCCGGCCACCUGAAAUUACUCUUGGCUUUCUCUCCAUGUAUGACCUUAAGGGACUAUGGGGCCAUAAGUGAGCAGAGCCCUCCCUCCCACUCCCCCGCUUUCCAUAGCCCUGAGCUGCUAGUGAAACAGCUGGGUUCUUCCCCCCCAGCCCCACCCCACCGGGGUGAGUUGGCAGGGCUCCUGGAGGGUGAGUAGGGACCCAUUGGAUUGGAACUUCUCAGCUUUCUCCCAGAAGACUUGGAGACCGAGGUCUAGCUUGAUGAGCUCAUUCACAAUGACCCUUAACCUGUGAUGUCACCAAGCUGCUUUUACUAAGUCCAGGGAUGUGCAUGGGGGAUGCAGAUAUAUUUAUUUUUAGCACUGAGGACUAGAAAUCUUGGGGGAGAUGUUCAGGUUGGUCAAGUGACGCUCAAUUCUGUGUUAGAGUUAGUGGGGUUUUUGUUGUUUUCUUAAAGAUGCUUGUAACUGAAGAAAUCACACUGAAUUGGACCCCUGAUGAGUCCAUCUAAGGGUGUUUUGUGUGUGCUGAUUUGUUUUUUUUUUUAAACCUCCAGUAUGAUAUGCAGUGUGUGUAUAGUGGGGGUGGGGACUCCAGGCGACCUGAACAUCCAUUAUGGCUGUGCUUAGGACUGCGUUUUGUUUUGUGUUCCUGUGGCUAUGCACUUUGUAAAUACACCGAUGCUACUCCACCCUGCAAGUGUGAAAUAAAGUUUUCUCUCUUCGUGAUC